This 498-nucleotide ribosomal RNA is filed under the name uncultured bacterium. RNAcentral's name for it is "partial 16S ribosomal RNA". It matches the Rfam family "Bacterial small subunit ribosomal RNA", at positions 30 to 523 of the family's 1533-position model. The record is from RNAcentral.
AUUGAACGCUGGCGGCAUGCCUUACACAUGCAAGUCGAACGGUAACAGGUCUUCGGAUGCUGACGAGUGGCGAACGGGUGAGUAAUACAUCGGAACGUGCCUAGUAGUGGGGGAUAACUACUCGAAAGAGUGGCUAAUACCGCAUGAGAUCUACGGAUGAAAGCAGGGGAUCGCAAGACCUUGUGCUACUAGAGCGGCCGAUGGCAGAUUAGGUAGUUGGUGGGAUAAAAGCUUACCAAGCCGACGAUCUGUAGCUGGUCUGAGAGGACGAUCAGCCACACUGGGACUGAGACACGGCCCAGACUCCUACGGGAGGCAGCAGUGGGGAAUUUUGGACAAUGGGCGAAAGCCUGAUCCAGCAAUGCCGCGUGCAGGAUGAUGGCCUUCGGGUUGUAAACUGCUCUUGUACGGAACGAAAAGCCCCGGGUUAAUACCCUGGGGUCAUGACGGUACCGUAAGAAUAAGCACCGGCUAACUACGUGCCAGCCGCCGCGGUAA